Molecule: non-coding RNA, 147 nt
Organism: Caenorhabditis elegans
Lineage: Eukaryota; Metazoa; Nematoda; Chromadorea; Rhabditida; Rhabditidae
Source: Ensembl
CCAAAAUGACGACUCAUCGACACAUUUUCAUCGUAGUCAGCCCGGGGCGGUGGGAGGAGGGCGCCCCCCGAGUAAUACCAUAAAACUUUUGUGUGUGUCCGGUGUGAGCGACUAGAGGAAGGAAGAGGCAAAAAAUGAAAAGAGCGG